UACAAGAAUAUAACUACUAUAAUACUUCUCCUAUAUACAGGAAUAUAACUACUAUAAUACUGAUCCUAUAUACAAGAAUAUAACUACUAUAAUACUGCCCCCUAUAUACAAGAAUAUAACUACUAUAAUGCUGCCUCCUGAUUUUAGUAUAGAAAUAACUUUACUGUGUGUCUUGGUUCUUUCUCUGUCAUGAUCAGGUAAUGUAGUGAUAGGAGACUCUGGGGUCAGUGAGCGCAGUAUAUGACAUUAUUAUCUUGUCACUGUAUGGGAGUAGUAGUUGUAGUAUUAUUGGUUCUUCUCCUGUGACCUCUUCCCUCUGGAUGAUAACAUGUCCACCCCCGGGUCCUUUCUUAGUGUAACUACAGAUCCCAGCAGGAUUUCUGGACUUGUCCGUCGUGCUGACCUCUUCUGCCGCUCCCGCUUCCUUCCUCACUUUCUUGUCUCGGUUACACAUCUUACUUCUCUCCGUACAGAGAUUGUGGAAGAUUCUGCAAAAAUCCCUUUGACCUAAAUACAAAUUGAAUGAAGGAGAAAGAUUGGGAGGGGGAAAAGAUGUAUGGGGAGCAGAGACGUCAGGACCCUCCGCUUCUGAUCUGAUGGGAGCUUCAUGGUGUUUAAAGGAGCAGGGACCUUCAGGAUGUCUUGUAUUAUGGCGCACACAUAUAUGGCGGGGACUCCUUACAUUCCUCCACUCCUUCAUCUCUCUCCUGUAAUACUAUUCUCUUCUUCCUUCUUCCUCGACUUCUUCUGCUUUCCCUUCAUCAUCAGCAUUUUUCUUCAUCAUCUCCCUCCCCCUUUGCUCGUUUUGCUUUUCAUCAUCAUCAUCAUCAUCAUCAUCUUUUUUUUAUUACUUUUCCUCUUUUUCUCCUUCUACCUCUUCUUACCCUUCAUCCUCCAUCAUCAUCAUUAACUUUUUUCUUUAUCUUCCUCCUCCUUUCCUCUUCAUCAUCGCCAUCAUUAUGCUCAUCAUCUUCUUCUUUUCCUUUAGCUUCUUCACCAUCUUCUCACCCUUCUUCUCUUUCCCAUUCUUUCUUUCUUAUUACUUUUCCUCUUUUCCUCCUUCUACCUCUUCUUACCCUUCAUCUUCCAUCCUCAUCAUUAGUGUUUCUAUGUCCUCUUCCAUUUUCCAUCACUGUUCCCUUCUGCUUCUCCUCCUUUUUGCCCCUUUUCUCCUUUUCCUUCAGUCUCUUCUUCCUUCCUCUUCUUCUACUUCCACUUCCCAUCAUCUUUGUCCUUUUCUUCUUCUUCUUCUUCCUCUUCAUUAUCUUCUUUCCCCCCCUCCCCCC
Hyla sarda is the source of this 1286-nucleotide long non-coding RNA. RefSeq lists it as uncharacterized. The record is from RefSeq and is a predicted model, not a curated record. The transcript has 2 exons. Lineage: Eukaryota; Metazoa; Chordata; Amphibia; Anura; Hylidae.